RNAcentral lists this long non-coding RNA (1990 nucleotides) under Panax ginseng (ginseng). RNAcentral's name for it is "long non-coding RNA (PGIN_LNC018488)". Lineage: Eukaryota; Viridiplantae; Streptophyta; Magnoliopsida; Apiales; Araliaceae. The record is from RNAcentral.
UUUUUGUUGUGAUUUGAUAUGUUACAACCUGUAUUAUGAAUAUGAUAAAUUAUUAGAAAAAUAAAUAUAUCAAGAUCUAUUUUGGAUAAUUAACUAAUUAUUAAAAUAAAAUAAAAACCUCUCCACUUAGACCCCGCCUAAUUUCUUAGAAGAAUUUUUUUGACGUUUUGGGCCUAGGUGAGGCGUCAGGCAAGGAGGCUUGGCACCUAGACAAGGCACCAAGAGGGCCUAGUACCUAGGCGGGGUGCCAAGAGGGGGCCUAGCACCUAGGUGGGGGGCCAAGAGGGGGCCUAGCGCCUAGGCGGGACCUAAGCAAACCUAGGCGGGGAUUUUUAGAACACUGCCCAACAACUUAUCAAAGAAAAAAUAACUCACAGGCCACCACCGCUGAGCAUCGCAUCACCGACAUAAUAGGAAAACAUACACCCAACAGCAACCAUUAUCAUAUAGCAUUUUCUUUCGUAAGUUGUUCACAUUAAUAUCAUUUUUGUACUAGUCAUUGAGAAGUUGAUACUAAUAAACCUUAAUGAUAUCAUGCUUACUAAUUGUGCAAGACGAGCAAUGCAUGAGUUCUACAUUUCAUUAAAAAAUUCUUUUGAUAAGUAACUACAUUUCAUAAUAUAAUUCCCAGUUGCAAAAGAUUAAUUACCUUUUUUAAUAAGUUCAAUUAUUCACUUAUUAUUAGUUUACUAGCUCUGUCCCAAAUCAAGGAAAUGAUUUUCUACCCUGGAUUGCCCCAAAAUAAGUGAGCUGAUACUAUUCAAACCCUUCUCUCUCGAUCCGAGGGUUAAAAUUUGUAUAGUAAUCAGUAUCCUCCUUAAAACCCAGCCAAACCAAAUAACUAGUUUGGGGCACAGGUAGUAGAACUUUCAAUGUUGUUGACUGUCUAUUUUUAUGAGAAAUUUUCUUCUAAACUUCUGGUUGUCAACUAUAAAACUGAACUUCUAAAUCGUUUAUCAAAAAUAACAAAGAAAAUUGCAUACACGUCCAGAAACAAAUGCUAUGCACACCAAUUUAGAUAUUUCCUUAGUAGGAUAAACCACAGUUGUUAAUUAAACUCAUUAACAAUCAUAGAAAAUCUAAACUUGUAAAACUAUUAAGAGUUGAUGUGUUCUUCUAAAAUUUGAGAGAAUUAGUUCAAGAAAAUUACCUUUGUUAUUUGCACGUGCACACACCUUACAACCCGCAUCUGCCACACCACAACAAAGAUGGUGGCUUCAUCCUCUACUUUAAUUUGAAUUUAAAAAUACGAUACAAAAAACAUCCAUCCACGAUGUUAAGUUUGUUUGCUUUUAACUUUUUAAGUAAAUCUAAGGAGAUAUCAAAUACUUAAGUCUUAACCUGUUAUCAACAAGGUAUGAUGUGGGGAUCAACAAAACAGUAUGAUUGGGCCCCGGAAGGGGGGGGGUGUUACCUGUUAUCAACAAGGUAUGACGAGGGAAUACCUGAUUAGCCUCUUGAAAGGUUCUUGUAUGGACGGAUUCAGUUCCCCACUGGGUUUAAGGUGUCUCCAUAAUUAAUAGAGAGGCAUUGAUAGGGAAUCUCAGUUCAUAUAAAAUGUGAUUUGGAAGAAGAAAGAAAUACUUAAUAACUCUUACAAGUUUAAGUCUCAGAAAGAAACUAAGUUAAGAAACAAUCAAGCCUACAAAGUAUAGCAUCCAAUAACAAUUUACUGACAUGGAGCCACCAAGAGAUCAUAUUUAGAUGAUGGUAGACCAAACUAUAAACUACUCAUUUUUGCAUAGGAAUAAAACUGGAGAAUUCAGUCACAGUUUAGUGUUUAACAUAUUAAUACCAUAGCCAAAUUAUAGUGAAGGAUCAUAAACCUUUGCAGUUCUGCACAGAUUUUAAUGGUUAAAUAAAAUCAGGACACAAUUUCAAAUACAUAUAAAGUUCCACAAAUAUUUAUCACAUAUAAUACCCAUCAUCUAACUCCACUAGUUUCUUCUUCUUUUUCCUGAUUUUUCAGUGUUCAAAAAAACGGGCUGGG